GAUGAACGCUGGCGGCGUGCCUAAUACAUGCAAGUCGAGCGAACGGACGAGAAGCUUGCUUCUCUGAUGUUAGCGGCGGACGGGUGAGUAACACGUGGAUAACCUACCUAUAAGACUGGGAUAACUUCGGGAAACCGGAGCUAAUACCGGAUGAUAUUUUGAACCGCAUGGUUCAAAAGUGAAAGACGGUCUUGCUGUCACUUAUAGAUGGAUCCGCGCUGCAUUAGCUAGUUGGUAAGGUAACGGCUUACCAAGGCAACGAUGCAUAGCCGACCUGAGAGGGUGAGGGGCCACACUGGAACUGAGACACGGUCCAGACUCCAACGGGAGGCAGCAGUAGGGAAUCUUCCGCAAUGGGCGAAAGCCUGAAGGAUCAACGCAGCGUGAGUGAUGAAGGUCUUCGGAUCGUAAAACUCUGUUAAUAGGGAAGAAAAUAUGUGUAAGUAACUGUGCACAUCUAGACGGUGCCUAAUCAGAAAGACACGGCUAACUACAUG
Molecule: ribosomal RNA, 497 nt
Filed under: uncultured bacterium
Lineage: Bacteria
Description: partial 16S ribosomal RNA
Rfam family: Bacterial small subunit ribosomal RNA
Source: RNAcentral